GGGAAUUUCCACUUCAAAUGGUAGGUUGACAUGAUGGCUCGGAGAACAUUGAGGCCAGGUCGGCCGAGGAUUGUGUUGUAGACUGACGGCGCCUUCACCACCAGAAAAUUCACCAAAGCCCUGGUUUGCCUUGGAUAUCGACCUGCAGCUACAGUCAAAGUUACCACUCCCUCCAUCGGGACAGCGUCGCCGGUAAACCCUACUAGAGGGGAGCUAAUCGGCCCCAAAUGGCCGUUAAGGGUGG
This 244-nucleotide long non-coding RNA is filed under the name Elaeis guineensis (African oil palm). RNAcentral describes it as "long non-coding RNA (EGUI_LNC079768)". Lineage: Eukaryota; Viridiplantae; Streptophyta; Magnoliopsida; Arecales; Arecaceae. The record is from RNAcentral.